GGGUGGAAGAUGCCUGUCUGCUAACUGUGUCCAGGAGAGUCAAACAGGCAUCCUCCACCCCACGCCUUGCCUUAUAGGCAA
Molecule: long non-coding RNA, 81 nt
Organism: Amblyraja radiata (thorny skate)
Lineage: Eukaryota; Metazoa; Chordata; Chondrichthyes; Rajiformes; Rajidae
Exons: 3
Source: RefSeq, a predicted model, not a curated record